RNAcentral lists this long non-coding RNA (209 nucleotides) under Elaeis guineensis (African oil palm). RNAcentral describes it as "long non-coding RNA (EGUI_LNC014889)". Lineage: Eukaryota; Viridiplantae; Streptophyta; Magnoliopsida; Arecales; Arecaceae. The record is from RNAcentral.
GGUGGUGUUUUGCGCAAUCAGAGGGUUCAUGUGGCUUGCAGACAAUCAAAUGGCCAGGAACAUUUCUAAGUCCUAAUAGAGGUUAUAUUUUGAUCUAUCGAGGGUUUUGGGCCCUUUAUCAGGGCAGACAGGCCGAUGAGUAGAGUGAACAUCCUGUGGAAUAAAGGAUAGUUGGCUAGAGUUAGCAGUGAGCACUUGAGAGGUAGAAG